GUUUAUGGCCAUGCCACUCUGAACGUGCCUGAUCUCAUCUGAUCUCCAAAGCUAAGCAGGGCUGGGCCUGGUUUGUACUUGGAUGGGAGACCACCUAGGAAUAUCAAGUGCUGUAGGCG
This 119-nucleotide ribosomal RNA is filed under the name Pteropus alecto (black flying fox). The record is from RNAcentral. Lineage: Eukaryota; Metazoa; Chordata; Mammalia; Chiroptera; Pteropodidae.